GAGUAAUACAUAAGUAACCUGCCCUAGACAGGGGGAUAACUAUUGGAAACGAUAGCUAAGACCGCAUAGGUACGGACACUGCAUGGUGACCGUAUUAAAAGUGCCUCAAAGCACUGGUAGAGGAUGGACUUAUGGCGCAUUAGCUGGUUGGCGGGGUAACGGCCCACCAAAGCGACGAUCAGUAGCCGGCCUGAGAGGGUGAACGGCCACAUUGGGACUGAGACACGGCCCAGACUCCUACGGGAGGCAGCAUG
Molecule: ribosomal RNA, 254 nt
Filed under: uncultured bacterium
Lineage: Bacteria
Description: partial 16S ribosomal RNA
Rfam family: Bacterial small subunit ribosomal RNA
Source: RNAcentral